RNAcentral lists this long non-coding RNA (2438 nucleotides) under Homo sapiens (human). RNAcentral's name for it is "HSALNT0136655". Lineage: Eukaryota; Metazoa; Chordata; Mammalia; Primates; Hominidae. The record is from RNAcentral.
CUUUAACAUGCUUACAGAGAGGUUUCUGCACUUGGACUUCUGUUCUAAUAUGCUGUAAUCUUCUUUGUUUGCCUGUGCUUUAUAAUGGAGAUAAAACAAAGAUGUUAAUUGUAAACUAAUACUAUUUGGCAGUUUGAGGAAGAGGCAUCUGAACAGAUGCCUGAAGAACAUGAACAAACCGGUCAUAUGAAGAUGUAGGAUCAGAAUGUUCAGGAAAAAGAAAAAGCAAGUGAAAACUUUUACAGUCAGAAUGAGCUUGGCUUAUUUGGAGAAUAGGCGAUGAAAUAAACAGAGACUUGCAACAAAUAGGAGAGCAGCAAUUGAAGAACCGUGGUUACACUGCAAAGGAUAUCAAUGCUCACAGCAUCUCAGAGCGCUAGUCUACCCUGCCACCCUUAUGGAUAAUAUAUUUCUGGACUUUCAGGCCCUAGUUGGAAAAGAAAACAUGAACUCCCGCAGCUGCCACCUACUCAGUCGCGGAUGUGACAGGCUGAUGGUGCACUCCCUGGGAUUCCAUUGAACAAACACCACGCCUUCUGAGCCGACUGGAAUUCUGUGUUCCACCACAAACACUGUGAGUGGCGCAGCAAGGAACAGCAGACAUGCGUGUGCGAGUCUCACCUCGCCUCACAUACAUGCACUAUGGUCCCAUUGGGUCUCAAUUGUGAAACACAAGUUCAAAGAUGAAGGUGCUGAGAAUUUCAAGACUGUAGCAGUAGAGGACUAGACUAAAUGUGAGCCCUUCUGAGUGUGGGGCUUGCAUGACUGCACAGCUUAUGGGCCAUGGAGCUGGUCCUCUCUCCCACCCGCUGGUUCCAGCAGCCCUGGCUCUCCACAUGUGGAUCUAGGCCUCGUCUCUGUCUGCAAUAGGAACAUUAUUCUUGGGCAGAGAGCCUGCGUAUAUUGGGUGUUUUUUGUGUAUUUCCUUUCUCUCAAGGAUAACGACCCUCUUACAGCUAUUUACCUAGUAUCUGAAAAAUGUUGCCUCACCUUUUUUUUCCCUCAGUUUUAUAGCUAUUUAAGGAAAUAUGGUAAGUCUAGUACCAAUCAAUUACUCUCAUAGAUGAAAAGUUGAAGUUGAAUUAAUUUUGUUUUAACUUUGCUUGCAAAUUCUUAGCUUUAUUUUCUAUUAUUGUAGAUAGUUAUGAUUAUUACAUAAUUUGAUUCACUUGAAAACUCUCAUUAAAUCAUAGUAAAUUAUUACAUUAAACAGAGUGACAUUCUUAUGUUAAUCACAUUUGAUACAUCUAUUUCUGAGCAUAGCUUUUGCUAUGUGAUUCAAUGCUCACGUUUGCUAUGUGAAUCAAUUGUGAUUCAAUGUUCUCUAUGAAGGAGUUUGUGAUCAUAAGCUAAGGUGAGAGUUGCUGAACUGUGUAUCUCAUAUACUAUUUCCGCCUUCAUGGUACUGCUGAAUGUUCUAUCUAAGGUAAUUAAAAAGAGGUGAAAAAGACAAAAUGCACUACGUAUAAUAAACCACUAGACUUGAAUUCAGAGAAACUUUUAUUCAAUGUAGGAUGUUUUAACUUGUUCACUGAACAACUAAUUUACUAUCUAUAUAGUUGAACUUUCUGAUGUAUGAGCCAAGGAUAUUUGGUGAAGCAGUCUUUAUUCUGCUCUAAAAUUCUUAUAUUUUCUAUGUGUAAUAAAUAAAAAUACCAUGUCAUGAUAUUUCAAUAUUUUAAUUAUUAUUAUCCUCCAAAUGUAAUUUAUUCUGCAAUAAAUUUAUACCACUCUGGCCAUAGUUAUAUUUAUUCAGGACUGUACAAAAGCAAAUAGGUGAAUGAUUUCUAAGCCAAAUUUUGCAUAACUUAAUUAAGGGUAACUUAGUCUGUUGGAUUAAAAUUAUUACAUUAUGCCCUGUUGCUAUGUGCAUUUUUAAUAAUUGGGAAUUGAGAGAUGAGAAAAGUUAAGAAUAAUCAGAUUUAAUUAAAACAACUCUAUUCAAUAUGUAGUCUCAUAAUUCACAUUUUAUAGUAAAGUAAAUUUUACCUGUUUUAACAUUUAUUCAAAAGAGCAUUACGUGACACAUAAUAAUUUCCUCUGCCCUACCUCUGUCAUUACUAGAGAAUUACAUAGAAAGAAAGUAUUAUUUUCUUCUGUCUGAUUAACUGCAAUAUUCUAUUCUGUUGUUGCUAGGCUACAACAGAUUUCAAUCUUUUUUAAUGUUGUUCUAUAGAAAAUAACUAAAAUGUAUUAGUCUCAGUAGGAGUAUAUUGGUGGCAAUCUCUCAAAUCAGUUGCCAUACUCGCUACAUAAAAGUAGUUAUUUUUUACCUUAAUAUGCAUAGUGAUUAAUAUAGUUCUAUUUCUAGAAGAGAGGGAGUUUAAAAUUUUUGACUAUAAAUGUCCUCUUAAAAACUUUAUGAAUUUUAAUUUUAUCUUAAAAUGACAAAGGCCCAUUUAUUUAAUAAUAUUCUUUAGAAGAAAAAUAUCUAAACA